RNAcentral lists this ribosomal RNA (425 nucleotides) under uncultured bacterium. Its description in RNAcentral is "bacterial SSU rRNA". It matches the Rfam family "Bacterial small subunit ribosomal RNA", at positions 359 to 776 of the family's 1533-position model. The record is from RNAcentral.
GAAUAUUGGACAAUGGGCGAAAGCCUGAUCCAGCGACGCCGCGUGUGUGAAGAAGGCCUGCGGGUUGUAAAGCACUUUCGAUGGGAACGAAAUGUGCCGGGCUAAUACCCCGGCAAGCUGACGUUACUCAAUGAAGAAGCACCGGCUAAACCUGUGCCAGCAGCCGCGGUAAUACAGAGGGUGCGAGCGUUAAAGGGACUUACUGGGCGGAAAGCGCACGUAGGUGGCGACGUAAGUCGGGUGUGAAAGCCCCGGGCUCAACCUGGGAAUUGCAUUCGAGACUGUGUUGCUGGAGUACGGAAGAGGAGGGCGGAAUUCCCGGUGUAGCGGUGAAAUGCGUAGAUAUCGGGAGGAACAUCAGUGGCGAAGGCGGCCCUCUGGUCCAGUACUGACACUCAAGUGCGAAAGCGUGGGGAGCAAACAGG